CGGCUCGUAGCUCAGCAGGACAGAGCACGCGGUUCCUAACCGCGAAGUCGCCGGUUCGAGUCCGGCCGGGCCGG
RNAcentral lists this transfer RNA (74 nucleotides) under Actinomadura violacea. RNAcentral describes it as "Actinomadura sp. LCR2-06 tRNA-Arg". It matches the Rfam family "tRNA". Rfam says of the family: Transfer RNA (tRNA) molecules are approximately 80 nucleotides in length. The record is from RNAcentral. Lineage: Bacteria; Bacillati; Actinomycetota; Actinomycetes; Streptosporangiales; Thermomonosporaceae.